Long non-coding RNA from Amphimedon queenslandica, 207 nucleotides. RefSeq lists it as uncharacterized. The transcript is spliced from 3 exons. Lineage: Eukaryota; Metazoa; Porifera; Demospongiae; Haplosclerida; Niphatidae. The record is from RefSeq and is a predicted model, not a curated record.
AAAAUGUCUCAAGUAUCACGUGAUGAUUGUUUGAUCACAUGACUUGUUAUUAACUACCGCCAAUGGGAGUGUCUCUGGCAACUUUGAAAGUUCUGGUGAUGAUACUGUGGCAUUAGUUAAACAUGAUAAAACUGAACCUGAUGUUACUAUAGCAGCACCAGACCGGACUCAUUUACUAGGAGAGGUAAGGUUGAUAUAAACACAGUA